RNAcentral lists this ribosomal RNA (1107 nucleotides) under Tridacna maxima. RNAcentral's name for it is "bacterial SSU rRNA". The stretch from base 1 to 729 matches the Rfam family "Eukaryotic small subunit ribosomal RNA", at positions 1124 to 1831 of the family's 1831-position model. Lineage: Eukaryota; Metazoa; Mollusca; Bivalvia; Cardiida; Cardiidae. The record is from RNAcentral.
UACGGUUGCAAAGCUGAAACUUAAAGGAAUUGACGGAAGGGCACCACCAGGAGUGGAGCCUGUGGCUUAAUUUGACUCAACACGGGAAACCUCACCCGGUCCGGACACUGGAAGGAUUGACAGACUAAAGCUCUUUCUUGAUUCAGUGGGUGGUGGUGCAUGGCCGUUCUUAGUUGGUGGAGUGAUUUGUCUGGUUAAUUCCGAUAACGAACGAGACUCUCGCCUGCUAAAUAGUUUUCCAUACGUUACUUUAUGGAACCUAAAACUUCUUAGAGGUACAAGUGGCGUUUAGCCACACGAAACAGAGCAAUAACAGGUCUGUGAUGCCCUUAGAUGUCCGGGGCCGCACAUGUGCUACAAUGAAUGCAUCAACGUGUAUCAGCCUCGCCCGAAAGGGUUGGGGAAUCCGCUGAACGGCAUUCUCAGUAGGGAUUGGGGAUUGCAAUUAUUUCCCAUGAACACGGAAUUCCCAGUAGGCGCCAGUCAUCAGCUGGCGUCGAUUGAGUCCCUGCCCUUUGUACACACCGCCCGUCGCUACUACCGAUCGCUCUUGUUAAUGAGCUUGUCGGAUUGGACCCGGUGAGCAGUCGUUGCGCUUCAUCUCCUCGCGGGGUGGGCCUUCGUCUGCGAGCUUUUGGUGUAUGCCGAGAAGAUCGGCAAAUUAUCUGGAGUAGAGGAAGUAAAAGUCGUAACAAGGUAUCCGUAGGUGAACCUGCGGAUGNNNNNNNNNNGAUACGUACUACUCUGUGCGGUGGAUCACUCGGCUCGUGUGUCGAUGAAGAGCGCAGCUAGCUGCGAGAAGUAAUGUGAAUUGCAGAACCACAUUGAAACAUCGACAUCUUGAACGCACAUGGCGGCCUCCGGGUUACUCCGGAGGCCACGUCUGUCUGAGAGUCGGAAUUGUAGUGCUUUAAAAAUCGGCGGUCACCACCAAAAUAUAUGUCGUAUACAAUAGACACGAUAGGUGGAUGUCCGCGAGGGUUGCUUCUCGGUAGAAAGAUACAUACAAAAAGUAAAAGAGAAGCCGCCGAGUGGCGAGUUGUUGAAAGUAGCCCAGCGAAACAACGGAACAAACCCUCGGAAGAAGAAAGAAAAAGACGUGCUGUA